ACUCCUACGGGAGGCAGCAGUGGGGAAUAUUGCACAAUGGGGGAAAGCCCAUCGAUGCAGCCAUGCCGCGUGUGUGAAGAAGGCCAAUUCGGGGCUUUGGUUAAAGACACUUUCAGUAGGGAGGAAGGUAGUGUAGUUAACACCUGCACUAUUUGACGUUACCUACAGAAGAAGCACCGGCUAACUCCGUGCCAGCAGCCGCGGUAAUACGGAGGGUGCGAGCGUUAAUCGGAAUUACUGGGCGUAAAGCGCAUGCAGGCGGCCUGUUAAGUCAGAUGUGAAAGCCC
This 287-nucleotide ribosomal RNA is filed under the name uncultured bacterium. RNAcentral's name for it is "partial 16S ribosomal RNA". It matches the Rfam family "Bacterial small subunit ribosomal RNA", at positions 335 to 603 of the family's 1533-position model. The record is from RNAcentral.